AACGCGAAGAACCUUACCUGGGCUAGAAGUGUAGAGGACGACAUCAGAGAUGAUGUUUCUCGAAAGGGUCUUUACAUAGGUGCUGCAUGGCUGUCGUCAGCUCGUGCCGUGAGGUGUUUGGUUAAGUCCAGCAACGAGCGCAACCCUUAUCGUUAGUUGCCAACGCGUAAUGGCGGGAACUCUAACGAGACUGCCUGGGUUAACCAGGAGGAAGGUGAGGAUGACGUCAAGUCCGCAUGGCCUUUAUGUCCAGGGCUACACACGUGCUACAAUGGUCGGUACAGAAGGCAGCGAAAUCGCAAGAUGAAGCAAAUCCCAAAAAACCGAUCUCAGUUCAGAUUGUAGUCUGCAACUCGGCUACAUGAAGUUGGAAUUGCUAGUAAUGGCGUGUCAGCAACAACGCCGUGAAUACGUUCCCGGGCCUUGUACACACCGAUACUC
This 441-nucleotide ribosomal RNA is filed under the name uncultured bacterium. RNAcentral's name for it is "bacterial SSU rRNA". It matches the Rfam family "Bacterial small subunit ribosomal RNA", at positions 958 to 1398 of the family's 1533-position model. The record is from RNAcentral.